UACGGAGGGGGGCUAGCGUUGUUCGGAAUUACUGGGCGUAAAGCGCACGUAGGCGGCUUUGUAAGUUAGAGGUGAAAGCCCGGGGCUCAACUCCGGAAUUGCCUUUAAGACUGCAUCGCUGGAAUUGUGGAGAGGUAAGUGGAAUUCCGAGUGUAGAGGUGAAAUUCGUAGAUAUUCGGAAGAACACCAGUGGCGAAGGCGACUUACUGGACACAUAUUGACGCUGAGGUGCGAAAGCGUGGGGAGCAAACAGG
RNAcentral lists this ribosomal RNA (254 nucleotides) under uncultured bacterium. RNAcentral's name for it is "partial 16S ribosomal RNA". It matches the Rfam family "Bacterial small subunit ribosomal RNA", at positions 524 to 776 of the family's 1533-position model. The record is from RNAcentral.